Pelobates cultripes (western spadefoot toad) is the source of this 276-nucleotide non-coding RNA. Lineage: Eukaryota; Metazoa; Chordata; Amphibia; Anura; Pelobatidae. The record is from the annotation of a GenBank genome assembly.
GGGACAAGCCCCACAUGCCUCUGAUUUUUCACGUGCAUACAGCUCUGCUGUUCAACUGUGGUGAACCCGGCUAACCCCUCACCACUACCAGACGGUCAUGCCUGCACCACGGCUCUCAGUAGCCAGAUUACACUGAUCGAGGUGAUCCCUCUAAACUUGGCACUAAAUUCAUACACUCAGACAAUUUUACCACAUGACAGGAGGCUUCCUAUUUUGCAUAUAACUCUCUUUACUAACUCCACAUAGCAGUAAAGAAAAGUGAAAACAAUAACCAAU